Molecule: ribosomal RNA, 829 nt
Filed under: Tetragnatha maxillosa
Lineage: Eukaryota; Metazoa; Arthropoda; Arachnida; Araneae; Tetragnathidae
Description: SSU rRNA
Rfam family: Eukaryotic small subunit ribosomal RNA
Source: RNAcentral
CCAAGGAAGGCAGCAGGCGCGCAAAUUACCCACUCCCGGCACGGGGAGGUAGUGACGAAAAAUAACAAUACGGGACUCUUUUGAGACCCCGUAAUUGGAAUGAGUACACUCUAAAUCCUUUAACGAUGAACUAUUGGAGGUAAAGUCUGGUGCCAGCAUCCGCGGUAACUCCAGCUCCAAUAGCGUAUAUUAAAGUUGUUGCGGUUAAAAAGCUCGUAGUUGGAUCUCAGUUUGCGGGUCGGCGGUCCGACGCGAGUCGGUCACUGCCGGCCCGCGACCGGCCGCCGGUUUCCGCGGAUGAUCUUCACCGGUUGUCCGUGGUGACCGGCAAGUUUACUUUGAAAAAAUUAGAGUGCUCAAAGCAGGCAGCCUCGCCUGAAUAAUGGUGCAUGGAAUAAUGGAAUAGGACCUCGGUUCUAUUUUGUUGGUUUUCGGAACACGAGGUAAUGAUUAAGAGGGACAGACGGGGGCAUUCGUAUUGCGACGCUAGAGGUGAAAUUCUUGGACCGCCGCACGACGAACUACUGCGAAAGCAUUUGCCAAGAAUGUUUCCAUUAAUCAAGAACGAAAGUCAGAGGUUCGAAGGCGAUCAGAUACCGCCCUAGUUCUGACCAUAAACGAUGCCAGCCAGCGAUCCGGCUGCGUUCCUCAAAUGACGCGCCGGGCAGCUUCCGGGAAACCAAAGCUUUUGGGUUCCGGGGGGAGUAUGGUUGCAAAGCUGAAACUUAAAGGAAUUGACGGAAGCGCACACAAGAAAUGGGGCCUGCGGCUUAAUUUGACUCAACACGGUGCAACUCACCCGGCCCGGACACAGGAAGGAUUGACAGAU